RNAcentral lists this small RNA (402 nucleotides) under uncultured Entrophospora. RNAcentral's name for it is "SSU rRNA". It matches the Rfam family "Eukaryotic small subunit ribosomal RNA", at positions 569 to 976 of the family's 1831-position model. Lineage: Eukaryota; Fungi; Glomeromycota; Glomeromycetes; Entrophosporales; Entrophosporaceae. The record is from RNAcentral.
AGCAGCCGCGGUAAUUCCAGCUCCAAUAGCGUAUAUUAAAGUUGUUGCAGUUAAAAAGCUCGUAGUUGAAUUUCGGGGUCAGUAGGUCGGUCGUGCCACAGGUAUGCACUGGUCUCACUGAUUCCUCCUUCCUGAUGAACCGUAAUGCCAUUAAUUUGGUGUUGCGGGGAGACUGGACUGUUACUUUGAAAAAUUAGAGUGUUUAAAGCAGGCUAACGCUUGAAUACAUUAGCAUGGAAUAACGGAAUAGGACGUUCGAUCUUAUUUUGUUGGUUUCUAAGAUUGACGUAAUGAUUAAUAGGGAUAGUUGGGGGCAUUAGUAUUCAAUUGUCAGAGGUGAAAUUCUUGGAUUUAUUGAAGACUAACUACUGCGAAAGCAUUUGCCAAGGAUGUUUUCAUUAA